GCCGACGUAGCUCAGUUGGUAGAGCAGUUGUUUCGUAAACAACAGGUCAUCGGUUCGAGUCCGAUCGUCGGCU
The sequence is a transfer RNA, 73 nucleotides long. It matches the Rfam family "tRNA". Rfam says of the family: Transfer RNA (tRNA) molecules are approximately 80 nucleotides in length. Their secondary structure includes four short double-helical elements and three loops (D, anti-codon, and T loops).